CUGCUGUGAUGGGAACAUUUUUCGUCAACAGCAUUUCACGCAGUGAAUGAUGACACGCAACUUCUGAGCAG
Molecule: small nucleolar RNA, 71 nt
Organism: Crocodylus porosus (Australian saltwater crocodile)
Lineage: Eukaryota; Metazoa; Chordata; Crocodylia; Crocodylidae
Source: Ensembl